This 484-nucleotide ribosomal RNA is filed under the name uncultured bacterium. RNAcentral's name for it is "partial 16S ribosomal RNA". It matches the Rfam family "Bacterial small subunit ribosomal RNA", at positions 30 to 507 of the family's 1533-position model. The record is from RNAcentral.
AUUGAAUGCUGGCGGCAUGCUUUACACAUGCAAGUCGAACGGCAGCGCGGGCUUCGGCCUGGCGGCGAGUGGCGAACGGGUGAGUAAUACAUCGGAACGUGCCCAGUAGUGGGGGAUAGCUCGGCGAAAGCCGGAUUAAUACCGCAUACGACCUGAGGGUGAAAGCGGGGGAUCUUCGGACCUCGCGCUAUUGGAGCGGCCGAUGGCAGAUUAGCUAGUUGGUGGGGUAAAGGCCUACCAAGGCGACGAUCUGUAGCUGGUCUGAGAGGACGACCAGCCACACUGGGACUGAGACACGGCCCAGACUCCUACGGGAGGCAGCAGUGGGGAAUUUUGGACAAUUGGCGAAAGCCUGAUCCAGCAAUGCCGCGUGUGUGAUGAAGGCCUUCGGGUUGUAAAGCACUUUUGGCGGGAACGAAAAGGACUGUGCCAAUACCACGGUUCGAUGACGGUACCCGCAGAAUAAGCACCGGCUAACUACGUG